AACUGCGAGUGAAGCGGGAAAAGCUCAAAUUUAAAAUCUGGCGGUCUUUGGCUGUCCGAGUUGUAAUUUAGAGAAGCGUCUUCCGCGCCGGACUGUGCACAAGUCUCCUGGAAUGGAGCGUCAUAGAGGGUGAGAAUCCCGUCUUUGGCACGGAUGCCCGGUGCUUCUGUGAUGCGCUCUCGAAGAGUCGAGUUGUUUGGGAAUGCAGCUCAAAAUGGGUGGUGAACUCCAUCUAAAGCUAAAUAUUGGCGAGAGACCGAUAGCGAACAAGUACCGUGAGGGAAAGAUGAAAAGCACUUUGGAAAGAGAGUGAAACAGUACGUGAAAUUGUUGAAAGGGAAACGCUUGAAGUCAGUCGCGUUGACCGAGACUCAGCCUCGCCUUGUGGCUUGGUGUAUUUCUCGGCCCGACGGGUCAGCAUCAAUUUUGCCUCUUGGAUAAUGGCAAGGGAAAGGUGGCACCUUUACGGGUGUGUUAUAGUCUCCUGUCGCAUGCGAGGGGUGGGAUUGAGGAACUCAGCGCGCACCUUUGUGUCGGGGCUUUG
RNAcentral lists this ribosomal RNA (544 nucleotides) under Lactarius pohangensis. Its description in RNAcentral is "LSU rRNA". It matches the Rfam family "Eukaryotic large subunit ribosomal RNA", at positions 85 to 630 of the family's 3401-position model. The record is from RNAcentral. Lineage: Eukaryota; Fungi; Basidiomycota; Agaricomycetes; Russulales; Russulaceae.